Molecule: ribosomal RNA, 253 nt
Filed under: uncultured bacterium
Lineage: Bacteria
Description: partial 16S ribosomal RNA
Rfam family: Bacterial small subunit ribosomal RNA
Source: RNAcentral
UACAGAGGUCCCAAGCGUUGUUCGGAUUCACUGGGCGUAAAGGGUGCGUAGGUGGCAAGACAAGUCGGAUGUGAAAUCUCCAGGCUCAACCUGGAAACUGCAUUGGAAACUGUCUAGCUAGAGGGUUUGAGGGGGGACUGGAAUACUUGGUGUAGCAGUGAAAUGCGUAGAUAUCAAGUGGAACACCAGUGGCGAAGGCGAGUCCCUGGAAAAUACCUGACACUGAGGCACGAAAGCUAGGGGAGCAAACAGG